This 780-nucleotide unclassified non-coding RNA is filed under the name Hevea brasiliensis (rubber tree). The record is from RNAcentral. Lineage: Eukaryota; Viridiplantae; Streptophyta; Magnoliopsida; Malpighiales; Euphorbiaceae.
GGCGUAACACCCUUUGGACGUCCCUGAAAAGCACAAUCAGAUAAAAUAAUCAUACAAGUGCUCACUAUCAAAAAUUGGCACAGAAUAAAAUCAUAUUUAUCACAUACUCAUUUAUUCUAUUAUGCAACAGACAUGUGAUUGAAAGGAAUGCACAUACUUUCAUGCCAGUAAGCAAACCAUCACUCUAGAUCAUAGGUUUUGUUCAUAGUAAAAGAGCUAUCAACUUUUUCAUACGCUCAUGUAAACAACAGUGCAUCUUUCUUCAGCCUGUCACAUUUCAGUAAUUUUACUCAUCUUCAAAUCUUAACCCUUUUAAAUAACAGGUUUUAGUUCAACUUUCAAAAUAAUAACAAAUAUUCCACAUAAAUGAAUAUCUUUUAUCAAUUCCAAUUAUUUUUGAAUAAUUUAAUGCAUCCCAUAUCACCUCAUACGUCUUGGCAACAUUACUUCAAGCAUAAGGUAGCACACCUCCAGUCUGGAUUUUUUUUUUAUAACAAAUAUUCAUAUUCUUGCCAAAGAAAGUUAAAACUCAAUUUUCAAAAAGAAACUGAAUAUUCCAUAAAAAUGGAUUGCAGAGGUCAGGCAUGAUCUUUUCAUUUAAUGAUGUCUAUGACAAAAAUGUAUGAUAUAUCUAGAUGGACUACAGUCUCACAACGAUGGAGAAGAGAAGAAGGAAUAUCACACUAUACACCCCAAUAGAGGUUGAGCAAAGGAAAAUAUAACCUUAAUUUACCAAUUCCAUGAAUUUUGAUCACGUAAACUCAAUCAAUAGUCAUAACA